GGAGCUCUUAGCGGUAUGUGCCUGUUUUGUCCCCUUUCACUCAUGCUUCGUCAUUGGGAGGGUCUGGAGCAGAGAUUAAAGGGAGGUGCAGUAACUGACCAGUGCCAUACAACCUGGGGGCAGGGCCCACAUGUGCCAGGUUAGUAUCCAAAGCAUAUGGAAUAUCAUUACAGAAAACCUCUAAGCUCAGAAACACGAAGAGGGUGAGGAUGUGCAGAGGGACACUGUAAGAUCAGCAAGCAGGAAGACAGAAAAAUAUAUUUUUUCAUGGCAUUUCAGCUGUCCCUUCUGGCUUGACCUUAUGUUGCUGAAGGCCUUGUGAUAUUUCCUUAAAGGCCUUUUUUAACCACGUGUGUGUGUAAGUGAAUGUGUCCUUCCUAAAGCCUUAUAGCUCCAGCUGUGAGAGCUGCACUUUGUGCACAGGUUGCCCUGCAAAGGCAGGUAUGUUCCCGCGGCCCUUCCAGACAUGCAGAUAGAAAUGUCCGGGACACCCAGGAGGCCGGGUAGGGGAUGUCCCUGCCACGGCUGCGACAGCCGCCGCUCGGGGAGGCAGGAGGAAGCCGAGCGAGCUAAGGACACGCGUGGGGAGCUGCUGCGCGGGGCUACCGCCGCGGGGGUCGGGGCCGCCUCGGGGCGAGGCCGGGGGGCUCCUGCCGGCGGCCUGGGCUCGGGGGAAGGAAGAAGGGCGGCGGCGGCGGCCCCGGGCGGCCGGCAGGGGGCUCCCUCCGCCCUCGGUGGGCCGCGGGGCGCGCAGGUCGGCGCGGCGCAAUGCCCCGGCGGAGGCGCCGCCGGGAGGAGCGCGGGGCGGGCGGGCGGCGGCAGCGGGCACCGGCGGGACGGCGGCGGGCACCGGAGGCCUCCUCCCUCCUCGUGCACGGGACUCGGCGGAGCUCCGGGGAGGGCGAGGGGGUGGAGAGGGCAGCCUGGGCGAGCCUCCCAAAUUCGCCCGGCCGGCUGGCGGCGGGAGCUGCCCGGCGCAGGGGUGGGGACCGGUCGCUUCCUUAAACGUGCGCGGCGGGGGGCGGCGGGGCCCGCACCGCCCCCGGGAGCCGGCCCGAGCCUCCCGGGCCGCGGCCGCAACACGUGGAGCAAACUUUCGAGGGACGGGCACCCGGCUGCAGCCGGCCACCGAGCACCGCCGCGCCGGGACCGCGCCACACGGAGCACCUCGCCUCUUGCUGGAACAUUCCAACUGCUUUUCUUAAGGCUGAAUUCUUUGUAAAGGAGAAGUGACUAGAAACCCCAAACUGGGUCCCAGGUCUUGCUUAACUUUGUAAGGCACACUGACAUACUGACGCUGCUCCAGUUAAGGUAUGGUAUGAAUCAGAAACUCUAACAGCCGCCGUGGAAUGAGUGUGUUCACAUGAAGUCAUCCUGCAGUGACUAUUACAGAAUAGUCAACUCCUCUUUGUAAGCAAGCCCCAAAAGAGAAUUCUUGUCCCAGCGACUGUGUGACUAGAUAAAAGAUAACGGGCACAAGAAAGGCACCCUGCUAUCAGCUAAGGAUGGGCGCUGUUCGACUGGCUGCGAACAAUGAAACUUGUGCUGCUCAAGGCCACGCAGGACUGUCCCGGGAGCGUCCUUCCUUGCGGGCUGAUUCCAGGAAUGUGGCACUUUUGGAAUGGUUUGUUUCAGGACUUUCUGCUUUGACACCUGUGAUUGCUGAGACUGGCCCAUCAUAGGAAACCCCAGACCCUCUGCUCCUCUCCACCGGGAUUUCCUCUCUUAGCAACUCCAGUGUCUUCACCUGAUACUGAAGGAGGAUGGAAGAAAUUGAAUGUUUCCUUUGGCAAGAUGUGUGGAUGGAACUAAUCUGUUUUCAAUCUGAUAUCUACCAAACCAACUAAGUAGAAUCACCUCGACUGCUAACAGGUUGGAGAACAACAAUCUACUCUUUGUACUGAAAGCAGGAAGAUCUGGAAUGGGGUUUUGUAACAUUUUUUUGAUAUGAUCCUAUAUUACAAUUUUUAUAUUUAUUAUCUGCACCUUUAUCUGCACUCAAAAUAAGAAUGUUUAUGUUAAAAUAAACAUUUUUACUCUGAAAUACUGGAAUGAGCCUGCCCAGCUUCUUCCUAUCUCAGCUCAGCCCCUUUGAAGAGAAUCAACUUGUGGAUUUUAAAGUCCGAAGGACCAGUCUGGACCUCAGAGGAUGCACACAGAGCGAUCAAUGCAAUUCAUCCUGAAAACAGUGCCCUUAUGAACGGAUCUUUUUCUUAUGUGCUAUGGGAACUCUGCCUAUAUAAAUGUCUGAUAAACUGUUCCAGUGUUUUCUAACCUUGUCUUGUACCUUAUGGCAACCCAGAAUUUCCCACUUAUGCCUCUUAUACAGCUACAGUGGAAGAAACCCUUCACGUAUGUGACUGCAUAUGGUGAAUAGGAGAACAAGAAGGUUUGGUGUUAACUUUUAUACUAUCUGUUCUCAAAACAGCUCUAUUACACAUCUCCUCCAGUUGUCUGUCAGAGUGGAGAGCAGGCACAGCAGAGGUCCGUAGGGACACUUGGCUAGGGACUGAUAGGCAGGAGGGAUCCCACAUAUCCUGCGGGUGGGAUCCAGCCUGCCCCCCCCCCCCCCCGUUACACCAUAGGGAAUUUUCAGCAGCCCCGUGAGACCAUUUCUUAGUGCCCAGGCUAAGACACUAAGAUUUCAAGGACAAACUUGGCUGUUCUUUCUGAAAGUUCUGUGUCAUUUAGCACUUCCAAUCUGGCUUGGAAAAACACAUAAAUACAAUAAAUAUGUUUUGAAAAGUGUAUGAGGCAAUCAUGUUGUUUUCAGAGUCAAUUUCAGGUGUUGCUAUCAGUUUCUACUGUGCUUAAGCAUUGCCCCAACCUUUCUUGGAGUUGCCAUCCCUAGAAUAUGCUAGGUAGUAUGAACAUUAGGAUAGAAGCCACCACAACAAAUCAGCGUGGUACUUGCAUGCAGAUAAAUCUGCAUGGAUAACAGAGUAGCUGCUAAGCUUGAGCCACCACUCACGUUACUUUGCACAUCCUUGGAAAGCACACAGUGACAACAGUAGUACAACCACCCACCAAGAAUAGACCCAAAGGAGCAAAGGUUGCAGAGUGAGGGAGUGAGGUCCCUACCGGGAAAAAUGAAUUGUUCUUCAAGUACAAGCGAUUCUGUUAGAGUCUCUCAAACGCUGCUGUUCCAGGCUGCAAGGAGUCUCGCUGCAGGGGACUCGCUUUCUGAACUGCCCUGUAAUGUUAUCAGCUGCUUUCAGUGCACAACUCCUGUCUGGAAUAAUUUAAUGUGGUACA
Oxyura jamaicensis (ruddy duck) is the source of this 3255-nucleotide long non-coding RNA. RefSeq lists it as uncharacterized. The record is from RefSeq and is a predicted model, not a curated record. The transcript is spliced from 2 exons. NCBI's taxonomy places the organism in Eukaryota, Metazoa, Chordata, Aves, Anseriformes, Anatidae.